RNAcentral lists this ribosomal RNA (464 nucleotides) under uncultured bacterium. RNAcentral's name for it is "partial 16S ribosomal RNA". It matches the Rfam family "Bacterial small subunit ribosomal RNA", at positions 28 to 505 of the family's 1533-position model. The record is from RNAcentral.
GAUGAACGCUGGCGGCGUGCUUAACACAUGCAAGUCGAACGAUGAAGCCCAGCUUGCUGGGUGGAUUAGUGGCGAACGGGUGAGUAACACGUGAGUAACCUGCCCUUAACUCUGGGAUAAGCCUGGGAAACUGGGUCUAAUACCGGAUAGGAGCGUCCACCGCAUGGUGGGUGUUGGAAAGAUUUAUCGGUUUUGGAUGGACUCGCGGCCUAUCAGCUUGUUGGUGAGGUAAUGGCUCACCAAGGCGACGACGGGUAGCCGGCCUGAGAGGGUGACCGGCCAAACUGGGAAUGAGACGCAGCAGAGACGCCUACGGGAGGCAGCGGGGGGGAAUAUUGCACAAUGGGCGCAAGCCUGAUGCAGCGACGCCGCGUGAGGGAUGACGGCCUUCGGGUUGUAAACCUCUUUCAGUAGGGAAGAAGCGAAAGUGACGGUACCUGCAGAAGAAGCACCGGCUAACUACG